Molecule: ribosomal RNA, 492 nt
Filed under: uncultured bacterium
Lineage: Bacteria
Description: partial 16S ribosomal RNA
Rfam family: Bacterial small subunit ribosomal RNA
Source: RNAcentral
AGUGAACGCUGGCGGUAGGCCUAACACAUGCAAGUCGAACGGCAGCACAGUAAGAGCUUGCUCUUACGGGUGGCGAGUGGCGGACGGGUGAGGAAUACAGCGGAAUCUACUUUUUCGUGGGGGAUAACGUAGGGAAACUUACGCUAAUACCGCAUACGACCUACGGGUGAAAGCAGGGGAUCUUCGGACCUUGCGCGAUUGAAUGAGCCGAUGUCGGAUUAGCUAGUUGGCGGGGUAAAGGCCCACCAAGGCGACGAUCCGUAGCUGGUCUGAGAGGAUGAUCAGCCACACUGGAACUGAGACACGGUCCAGACUCCUACGGGAGGCAGCAGUGGGGAAUAUUGGACAAUGGGCGCAAGCCUGAUCCAGCUAUACCGCGUGGGUGAAGAAGGCCUUCGGGUUGUAAAGCCCUUUUGUUGGGAAAGAAAAGCAGCAGGUUAAUACCCCGCUGUUCUGACGGUACCCAAAGAAUAAGCACCGGCUAACUUCGUG